Molecule: ribosomal RNA, 464 nt
Filed under: uncultured soil bacterium
Lineage: Bacteria
Description: bacterial SSU rRNA
Rfam family: Bacterial small subunit ribosomal RNA
Source: RNAcentral
CGGACGGGUGAUAACGCCUGAGAAUCUGCCUUUAGGACGGGGACAACAGUUGGAAACGGCUGCUAAAACCCGAUGUGCCCUUAGGGGUGAAAUAUUUAUAGCCUGAAGAUGAGCUCGCGUCUGAUUAGCUAGUAGGUUGGGUAAUGGCUGACCUAGGCGACGAUCAGUAACUGGUCUGAGAGGAUGACCAGUCACACUGGGACUGAAACACGGCCCCAGACUCCUACCGGAGGCAGCAGUUGGGAAUUUUCCGGAAUGGGUGCAAGCGAGGGAGCAACGCCGCGUGGGGGAGGAAGGUUUUUGGACUGUAAACCCCUUUUCACAGGGAACAAGAAAGUGACGGUACCUGAGGAAUAAGCCUCGGCUAAUUCCGUGCCAGCUGCCGCGGUUAUACGGGAGAGGCAAGCGUUAUCCGGAAUUAUUGGGCGUAAAGCGCCUGCAGGCGGUUAAUCAAGUCUGUUGUC